AGGACGAACGCUGGCGGCGUGCCUAACACAUGCAAGUCGAGCGAGGAGAUUCCUUCGGGAUGAUCCUAGCGGCGGACGGGUGAGUAACACGUGGGCAACCUGCCUCAUAGAGAGGAAUAGCCUCCGAAAGGGAGAUUAAUACCUCAUAACAUUGCAGUUUCGCAUGGAACAGCAAUUAAAGGAGCAAUCCGCUAUGAGAUGGGCCCGCGGCGCAUUAGCUAGUUGGUGAGGUAACGGCUCACCAAGGCGACGAUGCGUAGCCGACCUGAGAGGGUGAUCGGCCACAUUGGGACUGAGACACGGCCCAGACUCCUACGGGAGGCAGCAGUGGGGAAUAUUGCACAAUGGGGGAAACCCUGAUGCAGCAACGCCGCGUGAGUGAUGACGGCCUUCGGGUUGUAAAGCUCUGUCUUCAGGGACGAUAAUGACGGUACCUGAGGAGGAAGCCACGGCUAACUACGUGCCAGCCGCCGC
Molecule: ribosomal RNA, 474 nt
Filed under: uncultured bacterium
Lineage: Bacteria
Description: bacterial SSU rRNA
Rfam family: Bacterial small subunit ribosomal RNA
Source: RNAcentral